GAGCCCGUGGCUCAAUGGUAGAGCUUUCGACUCAAAUACCAAAGGUCGCGGGUUCGAAUCCCAGGGUUUG
Non-coding RNA from Schistocephalus solidus, 70 nucleotides. The record is from Rfam. Lineage: Eukaryota; Metazoa; Platyhelminthes; Cestoda; Diphyllobothriidea; Diphyllobothriidae.